UAACCGCAUAGGGGAGCCGGAGGGAAACCGAGUCUUAAUUGGGCGUUAAGUUGCAGGGUAUAGACCCGAAACCCGGUGAUCUAGCCAUGGGCAGGUUGAAGGUUGGGUAACACUAACUGGAGGACCGAACCGACUAAUGUUGAAAAAUUAGCGGAUGACCUGUGGCUGGGGGUGAAAGGCCAAUCAAACCGGGAGAUAGCUGGUUCUCCCCGAAAGCUAUUUAGGUAGCGCCUCGUGAAUUCAUCUCCGGGGGUAGAGCACUGUUUCGGCCAGGGGGCCAUCCCGGCUUACCAAUCCGAUGCAAACUGCGAAUACCGGAGAAUGUUAUCACGGGAGACACACGGCGGGUGCUAACGUCCGUCGUGAAGAGGGAAACAACCCAGACCGCCAGCUAAGGUCCCAAAGUCAUGGUUAAGUGGGAAACGAUGUGGGAAGGCCCAGACAGCCAGGAUGUUGGCUUAGAAGCAGCCAUCAUUUAAAGAAAGCGUAAUAGCUCACUGGUCGAGUCGGCCUGCGCGGAAGAUGUAACGGGGCUAAACCAU
This 542-nucleotide ribosomal RNA is filed under the name Salmonella enterica subsp. houtenae. RNAcentral describes it as "partial 23S ribosomal RNA". It matches the Rfam family "Bacterial large subunit ribosomal RNA", at positions 647 to 1190 of the family's 2925-position model. The record is from RNAcentral. Lineage: Bacteria; Pseudomonadati; Pseudomonadota; Gammaproteobacteria; Enterobacterales; Enterobacteriaceae.